Molecule: unclassified non-coding RNA, 790 nt
Filed under: Hevea brasiliensis (rubber tree)
Lineage: Eukaryota; Viridiplantae; Streptophyta; Magnoliopsida; Malpighiales; Euphorbiaceae
Source: RNAcentral
AGAGUGGUGCAAGAGGCACUAGAUACACUGAUUAUGGGAAACAAAACAACCAUUCUGAUAGCACAUAGGGCUGCAAUGAUGAGGCAUGUUGACAAUAUCGUGGUUCUAAAUGGAGGACGAAUAGUUGAGGAAGGGACCCAUGAUUCUUUGAUGGUGAAGAACGGCUUUUAUGUCAGGCUGGUGCAACCCCCCCUUUGGAAGGGGUUACGACAGCAUCGGUUGGUUGACAUUUGGGCAUAGUUCUUUUGUAUAGCUCUUAUUGGCCAUUUUUAUAUUGCUGGAACUUGUUGGCAAUAUGGAAGAAUACAUUCCGGAGUGGGGAAGUACAAACAAGAAUUCUGAGGCUUGUAACAAUUUUUGCAUGGUUGGAUGGGCGGGUUGCAGUGGUGACAGUGACAGUUAUAGUGUUCGAAUGUAGGGUUUAGGAAUAGGGAUUUUGGAGCUUGGUUGGCCAUUGAGGACAUGCUCUCGGGGCUAGAUGCGUAUUCUUUUUGGAGGCAAGGAUUAGGUUGUUGCCUUGUCUCCGCGGCGGUAUAUUGAUUUGUUCUUUAAUCAAAAAAUGGGUUGGAGGGGAGAUAAUUCUAGUCCUAAUGAGGUGUGCUUCUUGGGUUUUGUUUUUGGUUUUUCUAGAUAUUCUUUUCUGGCUUUCUUAUGGAUUAAUGUGACUCUGACUAGCUUGGACGAUGAUGAAUGUGUUUCAUACUGUAAAUUUACAUUUGUGAAAAUGAAAGCAAGUUUAGAAGAGAAAAGAGGUGGAGGGUAUUUGUUGUAAUCUUCCUUUGUAAAUAAC